This 500-nucleotide ribosomal RNA is filed under the name uncultured bacterium. RNAcentral describes it as "partial 16S ribosomal RNA". It matches the Rfam family "Bacterial small subunit ribosomal RNA", at positions 30 to 523 of the family's 1533-position model. The record is from RNAcentral.
AUUGAACGCUGGCGGCAUGCCUUACACAUGCAAGUCGAACGGCAGCACGGGAGCAAUCCUGGUGGCGAGUGGCGAACGGGUGAGUAAUGUAUCGGAACGUGCCCAGUCGUGGGGGAUAACGUAGCGAAAGCUACGCUAAUACCGCAUACGAUCUAUGGAUGAAAGCGGGGGAUCGCAAGACCUCGCGCGAUUCGAGCGGCCGAUAACAGAUUAGGUAGUUGGCGGGGUAAAGGCCGACCAAGCCGGCGAUCUGUAGCUGGUCUGAGAGGCCGACCAGCCACACUGGAGCUGAGACACGGUCCAGACUCCUACGGGAGGCAGCAGUAGGGAAUUUUGGGCAGUGGGCGCAAGCCUGAUCCAGCAAUGCCGCGUGCAGGAUGAAGGCCUUGGGGUUGUAAACUGCUUUUGUACGGAACGAAACGGCUUUUUCUAAUACAGAGAGCUAAUGACGGUACCGUAAGAAUAAGCACCGGAUAACUACGUGCCAGCCGCCGCAGUAA